This 254-nucleotide ribosomal RNA is filed under the name uncultured bacterium. Its description in RNAcentral is "partial 16S ribosomal RNA". It matches the Rfam family "Bacterial small subunit ribosomal RNA", at positions 524 to 776 of the family's 1533-position model. The record is from RNAcentral.
UACAGAGGUCCCAAGCGUUGUUCGGAUUCAUUGGGCGUAAAGGGUGCGUAGGCGGUUCAGUAAGUCGGGUGUGAAAACUCUGGGCUCAACCCAGAGAUGCCACCCGAUACUGCUGUGACUUGAGUACGGUAGGGGAGCAGGGAAUUCCUGGUGUAGCGGUGAAAUGCGCAGAUAUCAGGAGGAACACCGGUGGCGAAGGCGCUGCUCUGGGCCGAAACUGACGCUGAGGAGCGAAAGCGUGGGUAGCAAACAGG